RNAcentral lists this ribosomal RNA (377 nucleotides) under uncultured bacterium. Its description in RNAcentral is "bacterial SSU rRNA". It matches the Rfam family "Bacterial small subunit ribosomal RNA", at positions 521 to 896 of the family's 1533-position model. The record is from RNAcentral.
UAAGACAGAGGAUGCAAACGUUGCUCGGAAUUACUGGGCGUAAAGCGCGCGCAGGUGGUCUGGUAAGUCGGGUGUGAAAUCCCGGGGCUCAACCUCGGAAGUGCACACGAUACUGCCGGACUCGAGUACUGGAGAGGAGAGCGGAAUUCCCGGUGUAGAGGUGAAAUUCGUAGAUAUCGGGAGGAACACCAGUGGCGAAGGCGGCUCUCUGGACAGAUACUGACACUGAGGCGCGAAAGCGUGGGAAGCAAACAGGAUUAGAUACCCUGGUAGUCCACGCUGUAAACGAUGACGACUGGGUGUUUCGGGUAUUGACCCCCGAGGUGCCGAAGCCAACGCGUUAAGUCGUCCGCCUGGGAAGUACGGCCGCAAGGCUA